RNAcentral lists this ribosomal RNA (972 nucleotides) under Salmonella enterica. RNAcentral describes it as "partial 23S ribosomal RNA". It matches the Rfam family "Bacterial large subunit ribosomal RNA", at positions 572 to 1547 of the family's 2925-position model. The record is from RNAcentral. Lineage: Bacteria; Pseudomonadati; Pseudomonadota; Gammaproteobacteria; Enterobacterales; Enterobacteriaceae. RNAcentral also lists the same sequence under 1 other name.
AGUGGGAGCACCCUUUGGGGUGUGACUGCGUACCUUUUGUAUAAUGGGUCAGCGACUUAUAUUCUGUAGCAAGGUUAACCGAAUAGGGGAGCCGGAGGGAAACCGAGUCUUAAUUGGGCGUUAAGUUGCAGGGUAUAGACCCGAAACCCGGUGAUCUAGCCAUGGGCAGGUUGAAGGUUGGGUAACACUAACUGGAGGACCGAACCGACUAAUGUUGAAAAAUUAGCGGAUGACCUGUGGCUGGGGGUGAAAGGCCAAUCAAACCGGGAGAUAGCUGGUUCUCCCCGAAAGCUAUUUAGGUAGCGCCUCGUGAAUUCAUCUCCGGGGGUAGAGCACUGUUUCGGCUAGGGGGCCAUCCCGGCUUACCAACCCGAUGCAAACUGCGAAUACCGGAGAAUGUUAUCACGGGAGACACACGGCGGGUGCUAACGUCCGUCGUGAAGAGGGAAACAACCCAGACCGCCAGCUAAGGUCCCAAAGUCAUGGUUAAGUGGGAAACGAUGUGGGAAGGCCCAGACAGCCAGGAUGUUGGCUUAGAAGCAGCCAUCAUUUAAAGAAAGCGUAAUAGCUCACUGGUCGAGUCGGCCUGCGCGGAAGAUGUAACGGGGCUAAACCAUGCACCGAAGCUGCGGCAGCGACACUCAGGUGUUGUUGGGUAGGGGAGCGUUCUGUAAGCCUGCGAAGGUGGCCUGUGAGGGUUGCUGGAGGUAUCAGAAGUGCGAAUGCUGACAUAAGUAACGAUAAAGCGGGUGAAAAGCCCGCUCGCCGGAAGACCAAGGGUUCCUGUCCAACGUUAAUCGGGGCAGGGUGAGUCGACCCCUAAGGCGAGGCCGAAAGGCGUAGUCGAUGGGAAACGGGUUAAUAUUCCCGUACUUGGUGUUACUGCGAAGGGGGGACGGAGAAGGCUAUGUUGGCCGGGCGACGGUUGUCCCGGUUUAAGCGUGUAGGUGUGUGUUCCAGGUAAAUCCGGUU